RNAcentral lists this transfer RNA (34 nucleotides) under Juncus balticus. RNAcentral's name for it is "partial tRNA-Leu". The record is from RNAcentral. Lineage: Eukaryota; Viridiplantae; Streptophyta; Magnoliopsida; Poales; Juncaceae.
GACUUAAAAUCCGUCGAUUUUAGGAAUCGUGAGG